Molecule: small nuclear RNA, 78 nt
Filed under: Rhinopithecus bieti (black snub-nosed monkey)
Lineage: Eukaryota; Metazoa; Chordata; Mammalia; Primates; Cercopithecidae
Source: RNAcentral
GUACUCGCUUCGGCAGCCCAUAUACUAAAAUUGAAACGAUACAGAGAAGAUUAGCAUGGCCCCUGCGCAAGGAUGACA